Sparus aurata (gilthead seabream) is the source of this 69-nucleotide small nucleolar RNA. NCBI's taxonomy places the organism in Eukaryota, Metazoa, Chordata, Actinopteri, Spariformes, Sparidae. The record is from Ensembl.
AGUCAGUGAUGAUUUUAAAGAUAAGAGUAGUGGACAGAAACGAUUUCUGAACAAUUUUACACUGAGGCU